AAAUCAGUUAUGGUUCACUAGAUCGUACAGUUUACAUGGAUAACUGUGGUAAUUCUAGAGCUAAUACAUGCAACCAGCCCGUGCCCUCGUGGCGCGGACGCAGUUAUUUGCCCAAGACCAAUCCGGCCCUCGGGUCGUUCAAUUGGUGACUCUGAAUAACCGAAGCAGAGCGUUUGGUCUCGUACCGGCGCCAGAUCUUUCAAGUGUCUGACUUAUCAGCUUGUUGUUAGGUUAUGUUCCUAACAAGGCUUUCACGGGUAACGGAGUGUCAGGGCCCGACACCGGAGAGGGAGCCUGAGAAACGGCUACCACAUCCAAGGAAGGCAGCAGGCGCGCAAAUUACCCACUCCCGGCACGGGGAGGUAGUGACGAAAAAUAACGAUGCGAGAGCUUUUAGCUUCUCGUAAUCGGAAUGGGUACACUUUAAAUCCUUUAACGAGGAUCUAUUGGAGGGCAAGUCUGGUGCCAGCAGCCGCGGUAAUUCCAGCUCCAAUAGCGUAUAUUAAAGUUGCUGCGGUUAAAAAGCUCGUAGUUGGAUCUGGGUAGUCGAUGGACGGUGCUUCGUAAGAAGCUACUGCCCGUUCGGCACCACAGCCCGGCCAUGUCUUGCAUGCUCUUCACUGAGUGUGCUUGGCGACCGGAACGUUUACUUUGAAAAAAUUAGAGUGCUCAAAGCAGGCGUUAAGCCUUGUAUAAUGGUGCAUGGGAUAAUGGAAUAAGAUUUUUGGCUUGUUCUGUUGGUUUUAGAGUCAGAAGU
RNAcentral lists this ribosomal RNA (757 nucleotides) under Hypsibius cf. convergens 1 EK-2007. RNAcentral describes it as "SSU rRNA". It matches the Rfam family "Eukaryotic small subunit ribosomal RNA", at positions 103 to 863 of the family's 1831-position model. The record is from RNAcentral. Lineage: Eukaryota; Metazoa; Tardigrada; Eutardigrada; Parachela; Hypsibiidae.